Molecule: ribosomal RNA, 406 nt
Filed under: uncultured bacterium
Lineage: Bacteria
Description: partial 16S ribosomal RNA
Rfam family: Bacterial small subunit ribosomal RNA
Source: RNAcentral
AUUGAACGCUGGCGGCAGGCCUAACACAUGCAAGUCGAACGAGUGGCGGACGUGUGAGUAAUGUCUGGGCAAGUGACUGGUGGAGGGGGAUAACUACUGGAAACGGUUGCUACUACCGCAUACCAUCGGAUGUGCCCAGAUGGGAUUAGCUAGUGGGUGGGGUAAAGGCCUACCAAGGCGACGAUCCGUAGCUGGUCUGAGAGGAUGACCAGCCACACUGGAACUGAGACACGGUCCAGACUCCUACGGGAGGCAGCAGUGGGGAAUAUUGCACAAUGGGCGAAAGCCUGAUGCAGCCAUGCCGCGUGUAUGAAGAAGGCCUUCGGGUUGUAAAGUACUUUCAGCGGGGAGGCGUUACCAACAGAAGAAGCACCGGCUAACUCCGUGCCAGCAGCCGCGGUAAUAC